This is a long non-coding RNA of Ylistrum balloti, 2802 nucleotides long. RefSeq lists it as uncharacterized. The record is from RefSeq and is a predicted model, not a curated record. Lineage: Eukaryota; Metazoa; Mollusca; Bivalvia; Pectinida; Pectinidae. The transcript has 2 exons.
UAGUGAAUGGAGGUUGAAAUCUACUUCUUGAAUACAGACUGUUGAUAUGUUUAUACCAGAAAGGAUAUUUAUUAGAUAACAGUACACAUUAGCUAGGAUGGUGCACUGUGACAUUGUUGAAUUGACUGGAAUGCACUCUGAUAUUCUUUAUUGCACCUCGAUCUAGACAUUGGCUUACAACAUCAUUGUGUAUUUGGGGCAAAACAUUAUAAACAUAAUGACGUAAAAUGUAUUAAUGCAUUAUUUAGGAAUAUCUUUAAUUUAUCUUAAAAUAAUGGUUCCAGCUUUCAUUAUUUGUACUGUUUUCAAUUUAAAAAGGUUUUAUUAUUCAUUGUAAUAAAUUGAACAUAUCAAAUUGUUUUUGUUUAGAAGUUUUGUAAAUGUUUGUUUGUGCAAGUGUGUAAGUUGCUUUUCUAAGAGGAGCUCAAGUCCUGGAUUGUUGUGCCUCAUACAUAUAUAUCUGAGUCUACCACUUAUAUGCUAGAAUCUCAGUGACACUCAUGGGUGUUUGCCCUUGUACUGUCUAAACUGUGGUCUUUGAAAUUAAUCCGUUGGUCUCAUGGACACCACUCAGGAAUUAUGUGAACACUUAGUGCUGUUUUUAUUGUGGAUUCACAAAUUAUUACUAGUUCUUUUUUUAGACACAGGACUUGGUUAUGUCAAGUGUAAUCCACUAGAUUUUGUCCCAAGUUCAGUGGGAGAUGUGGAAGUGCUGGAUUUCUUUGUCGUAUCCGGUUGUUAUCUGUGUUACCUCCCCUUGUACACGACUCGGUCGCGUUGUUAUGUUGUAGCAGUUAUGUGUGAUAUAUAUGUUCUGAAACAUGUCCAUCCUUUUGUAGCUUAAAAAUUGAAGUAUUUGAUUUAUCACAAUUUUGUGAUUUUUCUUAAUAUUUUGUUUUUACUAAUAUUUUACUUAUUUCAGCGAUAGCCCUUAUACAAGCCAACUUUAAGAACAUGGAAAGAUCAAAUAAAUAGUGUUCAGGGAAAUGAGUAAAUUAUAUUUGCCUGUUUAUCAGAUAUUUUUUCAACAUGAAUGGUGAUUUAUAUAAUUCUUAGAUAAUAAUUUGAUAUAUUAUUGCGAAAUUAUUUAGAUCCCAUUAAAUUUUUGUAUUUGUGUAACUUUGUUAGCUUUCAGAGUGCUAUUAAUUUUGUUUCCCGUGUAAUUCUGUCUGUCAUUAGAGCACCUCUAUACUAUAAGUUUGUUGACCAGGGCAUUGUUUGAUAUAUCCAUCAUUUUCUGGCAGUAGGACAUCAAAAUUGAGAAGCACUUUGUAAGAUGUUUACAGAUUUUAAAUUAAGAUAAUGUGCCAUAUAUUAGGGUACAGUUACACAUUGAAACAGGUGCCAGGUGUUUAUUGAGAUACUGACUUAUAUUAAUCCAUUACAGUAUAUCUUAGUGCUAAUUUGUGUAUUUAUGUGCCAAAUGGAAAGUUAAUGAUUUAAAAGGGUCAAAAUAUAUUCAAUGUUCACAGAAAAUGUGACUAUUUCUAUUUGAUCUGCAUUAUUAACUUUCCUUAAGUUUGCUCUAUAUUGUAGAACUGUCAUCAAUCUGUCACACAUGUUAAUACUCAUCUUCAACAAACCUUCGUUAUACAUUCAGAUUAAGGUUAUAUUAAUUUUUAAAUGGAGUUCAAUUAUAUACAUGCUUACUUGAACAGAUGCUUCUUUAUCUAGAUAAGAAGUUUGAUAUCAGAGUGGGAUUCCUUAAAACAUCCUAAGAUGUUUUGUUACUUUUUCUCUCAAUUGAGAUUAUUUAUGAAGCCUUACACUCACCAUUAACACAUCUGUUCAUUGUUUUAUUAAAUAUCCUUCAGUUAUUAACUGUUGAUUUUACAUUCGAGCAAUACCAUAUUUUUUGUACCAGACUUGUCUGUUUCGAUGAUUAUGCUGCAUUCUAAUUAAACUGUAAAAUAAGACCUAUCCUUUCAAUUCCUUUUAACAAAGUUUGGUGUAAAGUACAAUUUGAAAUGAGUGAUCUGAUAUUAAUUAGAAUGUUUUACGCUGGUAAAAUACAUCUGCAUCAAUUUUUAUUGAUAUUUAUUUGUAGGUUUUGGGGAUGGGGCAUAUUUUGGUAGAUGUUGGGGUAUGGAGAUAUAUUUUAGUAUGCAGAAGAGAUAAGGGUAUCUUUUAGAAGACGGUAGAUGUUAGGGGUUGGGGAUCAGGGUUUUUGUUUUUAGAUGGUAUGUAUUGGGGGAUAUAUUUUGGUAGGCAUUAGGGAUUUGGGUAUGUUUUGGAGGGCUAUGGGUGUUGGGGUAUGUUUUGAUAGGUGUUUGGGUGUGGGGGUCAUUUUUGAUAGGCGGUAGGUGUUUGGGAUGGAGAUAUGUUUUGGUAGGCGGUAGGUGUUUGGGAUGGAGAUAUGUUUUGGUAGGUGGUAGGUGGUUGGGUGUGGGGGUCAUUUUUGAUAGGCGGCAGAUGUUUGGGAUGGAGAUAUGUUUUGGUAGGCGAAAGGUGGUUAAGGAUGGAGUAUUCUUUCUUAAUUGAUGGGCAAUAAGUAUUUGGGAUGGGAGUAUUUUUGGUUUGGGGUUAAGACGAAUGGGAAUGCAGCCAGUUAUUUUAUGAUAUACCAUAAAGUCUAACAGUGCAAAUUUUAGAUGAAAAUGGGAUAGCGUGUCCCACAGUGUGAAAUCUGCAUAAGCCAAUCCCCAUGGCAGGACCAUAGUUUGUCGCUUUUAGGAUUGAACUGUAUGUUAAGAUUACGUUUGUUUUACAAAAAUUUACUACAAUUGUAUCUCUAUAUCUAUAUAUAUGGUGUUGUAGGAUACAUGUAAAUAUUAAACUAUGCCUUUAUAAUGGCUUCAUCAA